This 498-nucleotide ribosomal RNA is filed under the name uncultured bacterium. RNAcentral describes it as "partial 16S ribosomal RNA". It matches the Rfam family "Bacterial small subunit ribosomal RNA", at positions 28 to 507 of the family's 1533-position model. The record is from RNAcentral.
GACGAACGCUGGCGGCGUGCCUAAUACAUGCAAGUCGAACGAGAGCGCCCGGUGCUUGCACUGGUCAAUCUAGUGGCGAACGGGUGAGUAACACGUGGGUAACCUGCCCAUCAGAGGGGGAUAACAUCCGGAAACGGAUGCUAAAACCGCAUAGGUCUUCGAACCGCAUGGUUUGAAGAGGAAAAGAGGCGCAAGCUUCUGCUGAUGGAUGGACCCGCGGUGCAUUAGCUAGUUGGUGAGGUAACGGCUCACCAAGGCCGUGAUGCAUAGCCGACCUGAGAGGGUGAUGGGCCACAUUGGGACUGAGACACGGCCCAAACUCCUACGGGAGGCAGCAGUAGGGAAUCUUCCGCAAUGGACGCAAGUCUGACGGAGCAACGCCGCGUGAGUGAAGAAGGUUUUCGGAUCGUAAAACUCUGUUGUUAGAGAAGAACAAGUGCUAGAGUAACUGUUAGCGCCUUGACGGUAUCUAACCAGAAAGCCACGGCUAACUACGUG